GGUUAAGCGACUAAGCGUACACGGUGGAUGCCCUGGCAGUCAGAGGCGAUGAAGGACGUGCUAAUCUGCGAAAAGCGCCGGCGAGGUGAUAUGAACCUUUGACCCGGCGAUGUCCGAAUGGGGAAACCCAGUGUGAUUCGUCACACUAUCGUUAACUGAAUACAUAGGUUAACGAGGCGAACCGGGGGAACUGAAACAUCUAAGUACCCCGAGGAAAAGAAAUCAACCGAGAUUCCCCCAGUAGCGGCGAGCGAACGGGGAGCAGCCCAGAGUCUGAAUCAGCUUGUGUGUUAGUGGAAGCGUCUGGAAAGUCGCACGGUACAGGGUGACAGUCCCGUACACGAAAGCACACAGGUUGUGAACUCGAAGAGUAGGGCGGGACACGUGGUAUCCUGUCUGAAUAUGGGGGGACCAUCCUCCAAGGCUAAAUACUCCUGACUGACCGAUAGUGAACCAGUACCGUGAGGGAAAGGCGAAAAGAACCCCGGCGAGGGGAGUGAAAAAGAACCUGAAACCGUGUACGUACAAGCAGUGGGAGCACCUUCGUGGUGUGACUGCGUACCUUUUGUAUAAUGGGUCAGCGACUUAUAUUCUGUAGCAAGGUUAACCGUAUAGGGGAGCCGAAGGGAAACCGAGUCUUAACUGGGCGUUAAGUUGCAGGGUAUAGACCCGAAACCCGGUGAUCUAGCCAUGGGCAGGUUGAAGGUUGGGUAACACUAACUGGAGGACCGAACCGACUAAUGUUGAAAAAUUAGCGGAUGACUUGUGGCUGGGGGUGAAAGGCCAAUCAAACCGGGAGAUAGCUGGUUCUCCCCGAAAGCUAUUUAGGUAGCGCCUCGUGAACUCAUCUUCGGGGGUAGAGCACUGUUUCGGCUAGGGGGCCAUCCCGGCUUACCAACCCGAUGCAAACUACGAAUACCGAAGAAUGUUAUCACGGGAGACACACGGCGGGUGCUAACGUCCGUCGUGAAGAGGGAAACAACCCAGACCGCCAGCUAAGGUCCCAAAGUCAUGGUUAAGUGGGAAACGAUGUGGGAAGGCACAGACAGCCAGGAUGUUGGCUUAGAAGCAGCCAUCAUUUAAAGAAAGCGUAAUAGCUCACUGGUCGAGUCGGCCUGCGCGGAAGAUGUAACGGGGCUAAACCAUGCACCGAAGCUGCGGCAGCGACGCUUAUGCGUUGUUGGGUAGGGGAGCGUUCUGUAAGCCGUUGAAGGUGUGCUGUGAGGCAUGCUGGAGGUAUCAGAAGUGCGAAUGCUGACAUAAGUAACGAUAAAGCGGGUGAAAAGCCCGCUCGCCGGAAGACCAAGGGUUCCUGUCCAACGUUAAUCGGGGCAGGGUGAGUCGACCCCUAAGGCGAGGCCGAAAGGCGUAGUCGAUGGGAAACAGGUUAAUAUUCCUGUACUUGGUGUUACUGCGAAGGGGGGACGGAGAAGGCUAUGUUAGCCGGGCGACGGUUGUCCCGGUUUAAGCAUGUAGGCGGAACGAUUAGGUAAAUCCGGUCGUUUUUUAACGCUGAGGUGUGAUGACGAGGCACUACGGUGCUGAAGUAACAAAUGCCCUGCUUCCAGGAAAAGCCUCUAAGCAUCAGGUAACAUCAAAUCGUACCCCAAACCGACACAGGUGGUCAGGUAGAGAAUACCAAGGCGCUUGAGAGAACUCGGGUGAAGGAACUAGGCAAAAUGGUGCCGUAACUUCGGGAGAAGGCACGCUGAUAUGUAGGUGAAGCCCCUGCGGGUGGAGCUGAAAUCAGUCGAAGAUACCAGCUGGCUGCAACUGUUUAUUAAAAACACAGCACUGUGCAAACACGAAAGUGGACGUAUACGGUGUGACGCCUGCCCGGUGCCGGAAGGUUAAUUGAUGGGGUUAGCGGCAACGCGAAGCUCUUGAUCGAAGCCCCGGUAAACGGCGGCCGUAACUAUAACGGUCCUAAGGUAGCGAAAUUCCUUGUCGGGUAAGUUCCGACCUGCACGAAUGGCGUAAUGAUGGCCAGGCUGUCUCCACCCGAGACUCAGUGAAAUUGAACUCGCUGUGAAGAUGCAGUGUACCCGCGGCAAGACGGAAAGACCCCGUGAACCUUUACUAUAGCUUGACACUGAACACUGGUCCUUGAUGUGUAGGAUAGGUGGGAGGCUUUGAAGUGUGGACGCCAGUCUGCGUGGAGCCGUCCUUGAAAUACCACCCUUUAAUGGCUGGUGUUCUAACGUAGACCCGUGAUCCGGGUUGCGGACAGUGUCUGGUGGGUAGUUUGACUGGGGCGGUCUCCUCCCAAAGAGUAACGGAGGAGCACGAAGGUUAGCUAAUCCUGGUCGGACAUCAGGAGGUUAGUGCAAUGGCAUAAGCUAGCUUGACUGCGAGAGUGACGGCUCGAGCAGGUGCGAAAGCAGGUCAUAGUGAUCCGGUGGUUCUGAAUGGAAGGGCCAUCGCUCAACGGAUAAAAGGUACUCCGGGGAUAACAGGCUGAUACCGCCCAAGAGUUCAUAUCGACGGCGGUGUUUGGCACCUCGAUGUCGGCUCAUCACAUCCUGGGGCUGAAGUAGGUCCCAAGGGUAUGGCUGUUCGCCAUUUAAAGUGGUACGCGAGCUGGGUUUAGAACGUCGUGAGACAGUUCGGUCCCUAUCUGCCGUGGGCGCUGGAGAAUUGAGGGGGGCUGCUCCUAGUACGAGAGGACCGGAGUGGACGCAUCACUGGUGUUCGGGUUGUCAUGCCAAUGGCACUGCCCGGUAGCUAAAUGCGGAAAAGAUAAGUGCUGAAAGCAUCUAAGCACGAAACUUGCCCCGAGAUGAGUUCUCCCUGAGACUUUAAGUCUCCUGAAGGAACGUUGAAGACGACGACGUUGAUAGGUCGGGUGUGUAAGCGCAGCGAUGCGUUGAGCUAACCGAUACUAAUGAACCGUGAGGCUUAACCUU
RNAcentral lists this ribosomal RNA (2906 nucleotides) under Enterobacter roggenkampii. Its description in RNAcentral is "23S ribosomal RNA". It matches the Rfam family "Bacterial large subunit ribosomal RNA". Lineage: Bacteria; Pseudomonadati; Pseudomonadota; Gammaproteobacteria; Enterobacterales; Enterobacteriaceae. The record is from RNAcentral.